Molecule: unclassified non-coding RNA, 336 nt
Filed under: soil metagenome
Description: partial contains 5.8S ribosomal RNA, internal transcribed spacer 2, and large subunit ribosomal RNA
Rfam family: 5.8S ribosomal RNA (bases 1-120)
Source: RNAcentral
GAUGAAGAACGUAGCGAAAUGCGAUAAGUAAUGUGAAUUGCAGAAUUCAGUGAAUCAUCGAAUCUUUGAACGCACAUUGCGCCCGCCAGUAUUCUGGCGGGCAUGCCUUUUCGAGCGUCAUUUCAACCAUCAAGCCCCCGGCUUGUGUUGGGGACCUGCGGCUGCCGCAGGCCCUGAAAAGCAGUGGCGGGCUCGCUGUCACACCGAGCGUAGUAGCAUACAUCUCGCUCUGGGCGUGCUGCGGGUUCCGGCCGUUAAACCACCUUCAUAACCCAAGGUUGACCUCGGAUCAGGUAGGAAGACCCGCUGAACUUAAGCAUAUCAAUAAGCGGAGGA